AACGAACGCUGGCGGCAUGCCUAACACAUGCAAGUCGAACGAGACCUUCGGGUCUAGUGGCGCACGGGUGCGUAACGCGUGGGAACCUGCCCUUAGGUUCGGAAUAACUCCCCGAAAGGGGUGCUAAUACCGGAUAAUGUCUUCGGACCAAAGAUUUAUCGCCUUUGGAUGGGCCCGCGUUGGAUUAGCUAGUUGGUAGAGUAAAAGCCUACCAAGGCGACGAUCCAUAGCUGGUCUGAGAGGAUGAUCAGCCACACUGGGACUGAGACACGGCCCAGACUCCUACGGGAGGCAGCAGUGGGGAAUAUUGGACAAUGGGCGAAAGCCUGAUCCAGCAAGGCCGCGUGAGUGAUGAAGGCCUUAGGGUUGUAAAGCUCUUUUACCCGGGAUGAUAAUGACAGUACCGGGAGAAUAAGCUCCGGCUAACUCCGU
This 432-nucleotide ribosomal RNA is filed under the name uncultured bacterium. RNAcentral's name for it is "partial 16S ribosomal RNA". It matches the Rfam family "Bacterial small subunit ribosomal RNA", at positions 29 to 506 of the family's 1533-position model. The record is from RNAcentral.